RNAcentral lists this ribosomal RNA (245 nucleotides) under uncultured bacterium. RNAcentral's name for it is "partial small subunit ribosomal RNA". It matches the Rfam family "Bacterial small subunit ribosomal RNA", at positions 26 to 285 of the family's 1533-position model. The record is from RNAcentral.
AGAAUCAACGCUGGCGGCGUGCCUAACACAUGCAAGUCGCACGAGAAAGUGGAGCAAUCCAUGAGUAAAGUGGCGCACGGGUGAGUAACACGUGACUAAUCUACCCUCGAGUGGGGAAUAACUGAGAGAAAUCUUAGCUAAUACCGCAUAACACUUACGAGUCAAAGCAGCAAUGCGCUUGGGGAGGAGGUCGCGGCCGAUUAGCUAGUUGGCGGGGUAAUGGCCCACCAAGGCGAUGAUCGGUA